GUGGUUGAUCGCGUCGGAAGUGUAAUCUUGGGGCUUAACCCUGAGCGUGCUUUCGAUACGGGUUGACUUGAGGAAGGUAGGGGAGAAUGGAAUUCCUGGUGGAGCGGUGGAAUGCGCAGAUAUCAGGAGGAACACCAGUGGCGAAGGCGGUUCUCUGGGCCUUUCCUGACGCUGAGGAGCGAAAGCGUGGGGAGCGAACAGGCUUAGAUACCCUGGUAGUCCACGCUGUAAACGGUGGGUACUAGGUGUGGGGUCCAUUCCACGGGUUCCGCGCCGUAGCUAACGCUUUAAGUACCCCGCCUGGGGAGUACGGCCGCAAGGCUAAAACUCAAAGGAAUUGACGGGGCCCCGCACAAGCGGCGGAGCAUGCGGAUUAAUUCGAUGCAACGCGUAGAACCUUACCUGGGUUUGACAUGGAUCGGGAGUGCUCAGAGAUGGGUGUGCCUCUUUUGGGGUCGGUUCACAGGUGGUGCAUGGCUGUCGUCAGCUCGUGUCGUGAGAUGUUGGGUUAAGUCCCGCAACGAGCGCAACCCUUGUUCACUGUUGCCAGCACGUUAUGGUGGGGACUCAGUGGAGACCGCCGGGGUCAACUCGGAGGAAGGUGGGGAUGACGUCAAGUCAUCAUGCCCCUUAUGUCCAGGGCUUCACGCAUGCUACAAUGGCUGGUACAGAGAGUGGCGAGCCUGUGAGGGUGAGCGAAUCUCGGAAAGCCGGUCUCAGUUCGGAUUGGGGUCUGCAACUCGACCUCAUGAAGUCGGAGUCGCUAGUAAUCG
This 773-nucleotide ribosomal RNA is filed under the name uncultured Actinomycetes bacterium. Its description in RNAcentral is "bacterial SSU rRNA". It matches the Rfam family "Bacterial small subunit ribosomal RNA", at positions 575 to 1344 of the family's 1533-position model. The record is from RNAcentral. Lineage: Bacteria; Bacillati; Actinomycetota; Actinomycetes.